AUACGGAAGGGGGCUAGCGUUGCUCGGAAUGACUGGGCGUAAAGGGCGUGUAGGCGGUUGAUACAGUCAGAUGUGAAAUCCCCGGGCUUAACCUGGGAGCUGCAUUUGAGACGUAUUGACUAGAGUGUGAGAGAGGGUUGUGGAAUUCCCAGUGUAGAGGUGAAAUUCGUAGAUAUUGGGAAGAACACCGGUGGCGAAGGCGGCAACCUGGCUCAUUACUGACGCUGAGGCGACGAAAGCGGUGGGGAGAC
This 251-nucleotide ribosomal RNA is filed under the name uncultured bacterium. RNAcentral describes it as "partial 16S ribosomal RNA". It matches the Rfam family "Bacterial small subunit ribosomal RNA", at positions 523 to 771 of the family's 1533-position model. The record is from RNAcentral.